GAUGAACGCUGGCGGCGUGCCUAAUACAUGCAAGUCGAGCGGUAAGGCUUUCACAGUUUAUUUGACCAGGCGGUUCCUUAAGGAAUCAGCUUGCAGCGAUGUCCUCCGGCUGGAGGAUAUAGUCGAAUGAAGUGUGAAAGUACACGAGCGGCGGACGGCAGAGUAACGCGUAGGAACGUACCCCAAAGUGAGGGAUAAGCCCGGGAAACCGGGUCUAAUACCGCAUAUUCUCUUCGGAGCAAAGCCUUGUGCGCUUUGGGAGCGGCCUGCGUAUGAUUAGCUUGUUGGUGAGGUAAUAGCUCACCAAGGCGACGAUCAUUAGUUGGUCUGAGAGGAUGAUCAACCUGACUGGGACUGAGAC
Molecule: ribosomal RNA, 361 nt
Filed under: uncultured bacterium
Lineage: Bacteria
Description: bacterial SSU rRNA
Rfam family: Bacterial small subunit ribosomal RNA
Source: RNAcentral